UGGUAGAGCGCACCCUUGGUAAGGGUGAGGUCCCCAGUUCGACUCUGGGUAUCAGCACCA
RNAcentral lists this transfer RNA (60 nucleotides) under Klebsiella pneumoniae. Its description in RNAcentral is "tRNA-Ser". It matches the Rfam family "tRNA", at positions 16 to 71 of the family's 71-position model. Rfam says of the family: Transfer RNA (tRNA) molecules are approximately 80 nucleotides in length. Their secondary structure includes four short double-helical elements and three loops (D, anti-codon, and T loops). RNAcentral also lists the same sequence under 2 other names. The record is from RNAcentral. Lineage: Bacteria; Pseudomonadati; Pseudomonadota; Gammaproteobacteria; Enterobacterales; Enterobacteriaceae.